Molecule: unclassified non-coding RNA, 19 nt
Filed under: Mus musculus (house mouse)
Lineage: Eukaryota; Metazoa; Chordata; Mammalia; Rodentia; Muridae
Description: oocyte_clustered_small_RNA10470
Source: RNAcentral
AAGAGCCACAUGGAACUUC